RNAcentral lists this long non-coding RNA (1101 nucleotides) under Vigna radiata. Its description in RNAcentral is "long non-coding RNA (VRAD_LNC004193)". Lineage: Eukaryota; Viridiplantae; Streptophyta; Magnoliopsida; Fabales; Fabaceae. The record is from RNAcentral.
AUUAUCAUAUGUAAUUAAGAUAGUUUUAAUAUUUGGUUCAUUAAGAAAUAAUGUUAUAACUCUAGGAUGUCCAAUGUCGUCAAAGUCAGUCAUCAUAUGCAUCUCCAUAAUGUGUAGCAUUUUAUUGCUAUCUUGGUUGUAUUCUUCAUUUUAUCUAGUCAAAAAUUGUAAAUUGUAUGCAUCUAAACUAAGUUUUACGCUAUUUUAGGAUCAACUUAUUUCUUAAUGAGUGAUUCUUAAGAAGACAAGGUUGCCCGAGAAGUACAGAAGAAGAUUCAUGCAUCGGUUAUCAAAAUUUAGGAUACAAUAUCUACAUAUCUUCAUGAUUUUGAUUUCAAGCGCAGUCUUUUGUCUAUCGUCACUAAUUGUGAAAAACAAAAGAAGAAAUAUCUGUUGAUUUUGAUUUCAAGUGUAGCCUUCUGUCUAUUAUCACUAAUUGUGAAAAACAUUUUGAGACGCUUAUUCCUCUCCUUAUAAAUCGGGAUCCUCUUGAAGUCAUUUUUUACUAUAACACUUAUGAAUACAAAUUGAGAAAGAACUAUAUAUUAUAAAUGAUAGUAACUUACUAAUUACUAUUUUUACUUUACUAUGUUAUGUUAUGAAUAGUUUUAUAAUGUAAUUGUUAAUAUUCCGGUAAGUGUACCGAAUCGUAUCAAGUAAUAAUAGACAGUAAAUCUAAAUAUCGUUUUUCAAGGGACUCUUAGGCUUAAUUGUUUAUGUGAAUUGAUUUCUUAUGACUUCAUAAAGAUUAAAUUUAAGAUUUGUAAUGCAAAUACUAAAAUAAACGUGCAAAUGCAAAGGCUUGGUUAAUUGACAGAUAAAGAUAUGAAUUAAUGGUGUUGUUGGGGUUUACGGUUUCAUUCUAAUUCACUCUCCUAUAUCUACUAUUCUUAUUAAAUUCAACUUUGUUAUCAAUGUUCAUGCAACUUUCUAAAUUAUUCUAAACCCGAUGUCUCGACGAAGAGAGUCUACUCCCAAUUACUAGUUUACUAUGUCUAGUCUCCCUAGUAAUUAGUCAUGCAUUUCAGUGUACAUAAGCUUAAAGCAAUUGACCGCCAUAUUCCUAUGUUAGGUAAUAUUUCAUAAUCAAGAGAAUUCCCC